GAGUUUGAUCCUGGCUCAGAUUGAACGCUGGCGGCAUGCCUUACACAUGCAAGUCGAACGGCAGCACGGAGCUUGCUCUGGUGGCGAGUGGCGAACGGGUGAGUAAUAUAUCGGAACGUACCCUAGAGUGGGGGAUAACGUAGCGAAAGUUACGCUAAUACCGCAUACGAUCUAAGGAUGAAAGUGGGGGAUCGCAAGACCUCAUGCUCGUGGAGCGGCCGAUAUCUGAUUAGCUAGUUGGUAGGGUAAAAGCCUACCAAGGCAUCGAUCAGUAGCUGGUCUGAGAGGACGACCAGCCACACUGGAACUGAGACACGGUCCAGACUCCUACGGGAGGCAGCAGUGGGGAAUUUUGGACAAUGGGCGAAAGCCUGAUCCAGCAAUGCCGCGUGAGUGAAGAAGGCCUUCGGGUUGUAAAGCUCUUUUGUCAGGGAAGAAACGGUGAGAGCUAAUAUCUCUUGCUAAUGACGGUACCUGAAGAAUAAGCACCGGCUAACUACGUGCCAGCAGCCGCGGUAAUACGUAGGGUGCAAGCGUUAAUCGGAAUUACUGGGCGUAAAGCGUGCGCAGGCGGUUUUGUAAGUCUGAUGUGAAAUCCCCGGGCUCAACCUGGGAAUUGCAUUGGAGACUGCAAGGCUAGAAUCUGGCAGAGGGGGGUAGAAUUCCACGUGUAGCAGUGAAAUGCGUAGAUAUGUGGAGGAACACCGAUGGCGAAGGCAGCCCCCUGGGGUCAAGAUUGACGCUCAUGCACGAAAGCGUGGGGGAGCAA
RNAcentral lists this ribosomal RNA (769 nucleotides) under uncultured bacterium. RNAcentral's name for it is "bacterial SSU rRNA". It matches the Rfam family "Bacterial small subunit ribosomal RNA", at positions 9 to 771 of the family's 1533-position model. The record is from RNAcentral.